This 973-nucleotide long non-coding RNA is filed under the name Homo sapiens (human). RNAcentral describes it as "HSALNT0060764". Lineage: Eukaryota; Metazoa; Chordata; Mammalia; Primates; Hominidae. The record is from RNAcentral.
AAACAGCUCCAGUACAAGCACCUCCUGCUCCAGUAAUUGUUACAGAAACCCCAGAACCAGCGAUGACUAGUGGUGUGUAUAGGCCUCCUGGGGCCAGGUUAACCACAACAAGGAAAACACCACAAGGACCACCAGAAAUCUACAGUGAUACACAGUUCCCAUCCCUGCAGUCAACUGCCAAGCAUGUAGAAAGCCGGAAGUAAAAAUGGAGAAGAGCUUUGAAGUAGUAAGACACAAAAAUAGAGGUAGGGAUGAGGUUUCAAAAAACCAGGCCCUUAAACUUCAGCUAGACAACCAAUAUGCUGUGCUUGAAAAUCAGAAAAGCAGCCACUCACAAUACAAUUAAGGAAUGGGCUUUGCUAACCCUUCUGAGGUAACUAGACUGCAGCUAACCACCACCAACAGCCAUUCAUCAUCUGAUCUCUGCUGGAUCUACAGACACCGAUGCAGACCACUCGAUUUCAUGACCGGCCCUAUUGCACUAUGGAAGUUAAAGUGUCACGACUGCUCUAUGCAUAUUGGAUUUAGGGGAAUUUUCAUUGUUACAUAAAUGUGUGAACUAGUUUCAACAGUGUUCUUUCAUAUUUACUCUGCAAAUACAAAAAACCAAAACCUGCAGCCAGUGGUCAUUUCAAAAUCUUUUUAUGUUCAGAUACUGAGCCUUCAUAAGGGUUGACUACCUCAGAUUUGCUGCACUCAUUGUGGACUUCAUGUGGAUCACAACUUCUGGAUAAGAAGAUUACAACUAUUAAGUGUCGAUGUGAACCUUGCAACCAGCUCUACUGGAUUCUUAUCAGAAAUCCUGCAUAAAAAGUCAGCCAUCUGGGUUCUGAUCUGCUGUAAAAGAUGAAGAUUUAAGUGACCUUAAUUAACCUGUCCUGUGCCCUACCCUUAAGGAAUACUCUCUGUAGUAGGCUGUUGUUAUAUUAGACUUCCUGGAACACACUGCUGAAAAGAACUGAUGUGUUCAGAU